RNAcentral lists this ribosomal RNA (453 nucleotides) under uncultured bacterium. RNAcentral describes it as "bacterial SSU rRNA". It matches the Rfam family "Bacterial small subunit ribosomal RNA", at positions 340 to 786 of the family's 1533-position model. The record is from RNAcentral.
UACGGGAGGCAGCAGGGGGAAUAUUGCACAAUGGGCGCAAGCCUGAUGCAGCCAUGCCGCGUGUAUGAAAAAGGCCUUCGGGUUGUAAAGUACUUUCAGUCGUGAGGAAGGUGUUAAGGUUAAUAACCUUAGCAAUUGACGUUAGCGACAGAAGAAGCACCGGCUAACUCCGUGCCAGCAGCCGCGGUAAUACGGAGGGUGCGAGCGUUAAUCGGAAUUACUGGGCGUAAAGGGCACGCAGGCGGUUAAUUAAGUUGGAUGUGAAAUCCCCGGGCUUAACCUGGGAAUGGCAUUCAAGACUGGUUAGCUAGAGUCUUGUAGAGGGGAGUAGAAUUCCAUGUGUAGCGGUGAAAUGCGUAGAGAUGUGGAGGAAUACCGGUGGCGAAGGCGGCCCCUGGACAAAGACUGACGCUCAUGUGCGAAAGCGUGGGGAGCAAACAGGGAUUAGAUACC